RNAcentral lists this ribosomal RNA (404 nucleotides) under uncultured microorganism. RNAcentral's name for it is "bacterial SSU rRNA". It matches the Rfam family "Bacterial small subunit ribosomal RNA", at positions 9 to 417 of the family's 1533-position model. The record is from RNAcentral.
GAGUUUAAUCUUGGCUCAGAUUGAACGCUGGCGGCAUGCCUUACACAUGCAAGUCGAACGGUAACAGGUCUUCGGAUGCUGACGAGUGGCGAACGGGUGAGUAAUACAUCGGAACGUGCCCGAUCGUGGGGGAUAACGGAGCGAAAGCUUUGCUAAUACCGCAUACGAUCUACGGAUGAAAGCAGGGGACCGCAAGGCCUUGCGCGGACGGAGCGGCCGAUGGCAGAUUAGGUAGUUGGUGGGAUAAAAGCUUACCAAGCCGACGAUCUGUAGCUGGUCUGAGAGGACGACCAGCCACACUGGGACUGAGACACGGCCCAGACUCCUACGGGAGGCAGCAGUGGGGAAUUUUGGACAAUGGGCGAAAGCCUGAUCCAGCCAUGCCGCGUGCAGGAUGAAGGCCU